This 406-nucleotide ribosomal RNA is filed under the name uncultured bacterium. RNAcentral describes it as "partial 16S ribosomal RNA". It matches the Rfam family "Bacterial small subunit ribosomal RNA", at positions 30 to 526 of the family's 1533-position model. The record is from RNAcentral.
AUUGAACGCUGGCGGCAGGCCUAACACAUGCAAGUCGAACGCGUGGCGGACGGGUGAGUAAUGUCUGGGAACCUGCCUGAUGGAGGGGGAUAACUACUGGAAACGGUAGCUAAUCCCGCAUACCAUCGACUUUUCCCAGAUUGGAUUAGCUAUUAGGUGGGGUAAAGGCUCACCUAGGCGACGAUCCAUAGCUGGUCUGAGAGGAUGACCAGCCACACUGGAACUGAGACACGGUCCAGACUCCUACGGGAGGCAGCAGUGGGGAAUAUUGCGCAAUGGGCGCAAGCCGGAUGCAGCAAUGCCGCGUGUAUGAAGAAGGCCUUCGGGUUGUAAAGUACUUUCAGCGGGGAGGCGGUACCCGAAGAAGAAGCACCGGCUAACUCCGUGCCAGCAGCCGCGGUAAUAC